GCAAGCCGAGCGGUAGAGAUCUUUCGGGAUCUUGAGAGCGGCGUACGGGUGCGGAACACGUGUGCAACCUGCCUUUAUCUGGGGGAUAGCCUUUCGAAAGGAAGAUUAAUACCCCAUAAUAUACUGAAUGGCAUCAUUCUGUAUUGAAAACUCCGGUGGAUAGAGAUGGGCACGCGCAAGAUUAGAUAGUUGGUGAGGUAACGGCUCACCAAGUCUACGAUCUUUAGGGGGCCUGAGAGGGUGAUCCCCCACACUGGUACUGAGACACGGACCAGACUCCUACGGGAGGCAGCAGUGAGGAAUAUUGGACAAUGGGUGAGAGCCUGAUCCAGCCAUCCCGCGUGAAGGACGACGGCCCUAUGGGUUGUAAACUUCUUUUGUAUAGGGAUAAACCUACCCUCGUGAGGGUAGCUGAAGGUACUAUACGAAUAAGCACCGGCUAACUCCGUGCCAGCAGCCGCGGUAAUACGGAGGGUGCAAGCGUUAUCCGGAUUUAUUGGGUUUAAAGGGUCCGUAGGCGGAUCUGUAAGUCAGUGGUGAAAUCUCACAGCUUAACUGUGAAACUGCCAUUGAUACUGCAGGUCUUGAGUGUUGUUGAAGUAGCUGGAAUAAGUAGUGUAGCGGUGAAAUGCAUAGAUAUUACUUAGAACACCAAUUGCGAAGGCAGGUUACUAAGCAACAACUGACGCUGAUGGACGAAAGCGUGGGGAGCGAACAGGAUUAGAUACCCUGGUAGUCCACGCCGUAAACGAUGCUAACUCGUUUUUGGAAUGUAAGUUUCAGAGACUAAGCGAAAGUGAUAAGUUAGCCACCUGGGGAGUACGAACGCAAGUUUGAAACUCAAAGGAAUUGACGGGGGCCCGCACAAGCGGUGGAUUAUGUGGUUUAAUUCGAUGAUACGCGAGGAACCUUACCAAGGCUUAAAUGGGAAAUGACAGGUUUAGAAAUAGACUUUUCUUCGGACAUUUUUCAAGGUGCUGCAUGGUUGUCGUCAGCUCGUGCCGUGAGGUGUUAGGUUAAGUCCUGCAACGAGCGCAACCCCUGUCACUAGUUGCCAUCAUUAAGUUGGGGACUCUAGUGAGACUGCCUACGCAAGUAGAGAGGAAGGUGGGGAUGACGUCAAAUCAUCACGGCCCUUACGCCUUGGGCCACACACGUAAUACAAUGGCCGGUACAGAGGGCAGCUACACUGCGAAGUGAUGCAAAUCUCGAAAGCCGGUCUCAGUUCGGAUUGGAGUCUGCAACUCGACUCUAUGAAGCUGGAAUCGCUAGUAAUCGCGCAUCAGCCAUGGCGCGGUGAAUACGUUCCCGGGCCUUGUACACACCGCCCGUCAAGCCAUGGAAGUCUGGGGUACCUGAAGUCGGUGACCGUAACAGGAG
This 1380-nucleotide ribosomal RNA is filed under the name bacterium. RNAcentral's name for it is "bacterial SSU rRNA". It matches the Rfam family "Bacterial small subunit ribosomal RNA". The record is from RNAcentral.